GACGAACGCUGGCGGCGUGCCUAAUACAUGCAAGUCGAGCGAAGUUUUUCUGGUGCUUGCACCGGAAAAACUUAGCGGCGAACGGGUGAGUAACACGUAAAGAACCUGCCUUAUAGACUGGGACAACUAUUGGAAACGAUAGCUAAUACCGGAUAACAGCAUUAACUGCAUGGUUGAUGUUUGAAAGUUGGUUUUGCUAACACUAUGAGUUGGCUUUGCGGUGCAUUAGCUAGUUGGUGGGGUAAAGGCCUACCAAGGCGACGAUGCAUAGCCGACCUGAGAGGGUGAUCGGCCACACUGGGACUGAGACACGGCCCAGACUCCUACGGGAGGCAGCAGUAGGGAAUCUUCCGCAAUGGGCGAAAGCCUGACGGAGCAACGCCGCGUGAGUGAAGAAGGAUUUCGGUUCGUAAAGCUCUGUUGUUAGGGAAGAAUGAUUGUGUAGUAACUAUACACAGUAGAGACGGUACCUAACCAGAAAGCCACGGCUAACUACGCG
Molecule: ribosomal RNA, 499 nt
Filed under: uncultured bacterium
Lineage: Bacteria
Description: partial 16S ribosomal RNA
Rfam family: Bacterial small subunit ribosomal RNA
Source: RNAcentral